CGGAAUGGUGACUGCGGAGGAUCAUUACGAGUUCUGAAAGGGGUUGUAGCUGGCCUUCCGGGGCAUGUGCACACCCUGCUCAUCCACUCUACACCUGUGCACUUACUGUAGGUUUGGCGUGGGCUUCGGGGCCUCCGGGCUCUGAGGCAUUCUGCCGGCCUAUGUAUCACUACAAACACAUAAAGUAACAGAAUGUAUUCGCGUCUAACGCAUCUAAAUACAACUUUCAGCAACGGAUCUCUUGGCUCUCGCAUCGAUGAAGAACGCAGCGAAAUGCGAUAAGUAAUGUGAAUUGCAGAAUUCAGUGAAUCAUCGAAUCUUUGAACGCACCUUGCGCUCCUUGGUAUUCCGAGGAGCAUGCCUGUUUGAGUGUCAUGGAAUUCUCAACCCACACGUCCUUGUGAUGUUGCGGGCUUGGAUUUGGAGGCUUGCUGGCCCUCUGCGGUCGGCUCCUCUUGAAUGCAUUAGCUUGAUUCCGUGCGGAUCGGCUCUCAGUGUGAUAAUUGUCUACGCUGUGACCGUGAAGCGUUUGGCGAGCUUCUAACCGGUCCUGUAUGGGACAACUUCCUUGACAUCUGACCUCAAAUCAGGUAGGACUACCCGCUGAACUUAAGCAUAUCUAAAACCCCAAAAAAGGAAC
This 640-nucleotide ribosomal RNA is filed under the name Trametes sanguinea. Its description in RNAcentral is "eukaryotic LSU rRNA". The stretch from base 222 to 375 matches the Rfam family "5.8S ribosomal RNA". Lineage: Eukaryota; Fungi; Basidiomycota; Agaricomycetes; Polyporales; Polyporaceae. The record is from RNAcentral.